GAUGAACGCUGGCGGCGUGCCUAACACAUGCAAGUCGAGCGAUCUUCUUCGGAAGAGAGCGGCGGACGGGUGAGUAACGCGUGGGUAACCUGCCCUGUACACACGGAUAACAUACCGAAAGGUAUGCUAAUACGAGAUAAUAUACUUUUAUCGCAUGGUAGAAGUAUCAAAGCUCUGGCGGUACAGGAUGGGCCCGCGUCUGAUUAGCUAGUUGGUAAGGUAACGGCUUACCAAGGCGACGAUCAGUAGCCGACCUGAGAGGGUGAUCGGCCAAAUUGGAACUGAGACACGGUCCAAACUCCUACGGGAGGCAGCAGUGGGGAAUAUUGCACAAUGGGCGAAAGCUUGAUGCAGCAACGCCGCGUGAGCGAUGAAGGCCUUCGGGUCGUAAAGCUCUGUCCUCAAGGAAGAUAAUGACGGUACUUGAGGAGGAAGCCCCGGCUAACUACGUGCCAGCCGCCGCCGUAA
RNAcentral lists this ribosomal RNA (468 nucleotides) under uncultured bacterium. RNAcentral describes it as "partial 16S ribosomal RNA". It matches the Rfam family "Bacterial small subunit ribosomal RNA", at positions 28 to 523 of the family's 1533-position model. The record is from RNAcentral.